UUGUGGUCAGGCAUCUGUGACGUAUAGGUUUGGAGGAAUGCUUUUUGUGUACAGUCUAUUGGAGUUGUGUACUCUUCCUAAUGAACUCUUGAUGUUACCCAGAAUUAGGGUGUGGUCGUCACAGCCCAGUAAUUAUACUGCUUCCAUGGACUACAAAAGAGAUCUAUACUUCUGAAGAAAAUUAAUGGAUAGAUCUACUUAUGUUGAAAGAGACUGUCAUACACAAAGUCAGACAUUCGAACCUUGUAGGCCAACCGAAGCUGAUGUUGGAGGAGAAACAGGCCAUUUUGCAAACAAAUUCAGGGCUAGAUCUAUAUCCAGCACAAGUAGUGAUGAUGUCGAGAGAGACUGCUCUAGAUCUAUUAAGAGAACCAGGCCCCAGAGUGAUGUUGAGGGAGACUCUCCAAUAAAAAUACCUCGUGUUUUCAACAGUGUUCACGAUCAGUUGCUCUACUUAGCUACUUCAAAGGAUAAGAUUGAAGAAGCUAUAUUUCUCUUAGCCCAAGGAGCUAAUCCAAACUAUAUCUUUCCAGAACCACCUAGGUAUAGCAUACUUCACAAAGCUUGCUACAAUAACAACUCACAAUUAAUAAAGGAACUACCAAUCUAAAGACGAUCAAUGGCUAUACUCCCUUGCACAUAGCAUGCGUGUUUGGACACAUACAAUGCAUAAAGCUUCUUCUCGAAAGUUGUAUCUGCAAUACAGAAGUGAAAAAUAACGAAGAUAAAACACCCUUGGAUCUGGUAAAAGCAAAAGCAAAAGGUGAACUAAAAUUAAUGGAAAAUUCAACAAAAUCCAGAAGUACAUGGAAUGUUUUCUUGCUAACAGCCCACCUAGCAAUACCUUUAUGACAAGUUCUGACGUGUUUUCCCAUCUUAUUGAUAUUGGCAAGCACCUGCGUUCACUUUUGGAGGUCUUAUCUGAAGUGUUUUGUAAAUGGUUUGAAUUUGGAGUUGAACUUCAAAUUGAAGGCUCUGAGCUAGAGCGAUUCAGUAUGGAAAAUCAAGGAGUCCAACAGUGUUUCACAGCUAUGCUGGUACAUUUUUUCUCUCAUGAUACAACUUCUACUUGGUCAAGCAUCAUUAGGGUAGUGCAGUCACGUACUGUUAACUGUCCACAUUUAGUGAAGCAACUUAUCAAUUUGGCCGAAAAAUUUGCUAAGUAAUUUCUUUAUUAUUUUCAUUCCGUUAAAAUUACUACAUGUACUAUUUCCUCAUGCA
Long non-coding RNA from Halichondria panicea, 1221 nucleotides. RefSeq lists it as uncharacterized. The record is from RefSeq and is a predicted model, not a curated record. NCBI's taxonomy places the organism in Eukaryota, Metazoa, Porifera, Demospongiae, Suberitida, Halichondriidae. The transcript is spliced from 4 exons.